CUGGAUUAGUGGCGAACGGGUGAGUAACACGUGAGCAAUGUGCCCUUGACUCUGGAAUAAGCGCUGGAAACGGCGUCUAAUACCGGAUACGACCCUCGGAGGCAUCUCCAGGGGGUGGAAAGAACUUCGGUCAAGGAUCAGCUCACGGCCUAUCAGUUAGUUGGUGAGGUAAUGGCUCACCAAGACGACGACGGGUAGCCGGCCUGAGAGGGUGACCGGCCACACUGGGACUGAGACACGGCCCAGACUCCUACGGGAGGCAGCAGUGGGGAAUAUUGCACAAUGGGCGCAAGCCUGAUGCAGCAACGCCGCGUGAGGGACGACGGCCUUCGGGUUGUAAACCUCUUUUAGCAGGGAAGAAGCGAAAGUGACGGUACCUGCAGAAAAAGCACCGGCUAACUACGUGCCAGCAGCCGCGGUAAUACGUAGGGUGCAAGCGUUGUCCGGAAUUAUUGGGCGUAAAGAGCUCGUAGGCGGUUUGUCACGUCUGCUGUGAAAUCCCGAGGCUCAACCUCGGGCUUGCAGUGGGUACGGGCAGACUAGAGUGCGGUAGGGGAGAUUGGAAUUCCUGGUGUAGCGGUGGAAUGCGCAGAUAUCAGGAGGAACACCGAUGGCGAAGGCAGAUCUCUGGGCCGUAACUGACGCUGAGGAGCGAAAGCAUGGGGAGCAAACAGGCUUAGAUACCCUGGUAGUCCAUGCCGUAAAACGUUGGGAACUAGAUGUGGGGACC
RNAcentral lists this ribosomal RNA (730 nucleotides) under bacterium SCSIO13163. RNAcentral's name for it is "bacterial SSU rRNA". It matches the Rfam family "Bacterial small subunit ribosomal RNA", at positions 87 to 830 of the family's 1533-position model. The record is from RNAcentral.